CCGGGAGGUUGGCGAGUGUGCGCGCGUGUGUGUGCGCAGCGCGUGUGUGCGUGUGCGCGCGUCUACAGGUAGCAGCGGCGGCGGGGACCCGAGCAGGGGACGCUUCGGCAGCUACCUCCCGCCUGUGAUUUUUCGGAGGCGAUUGCUCACUUAGCUGACGGAUCUGUAGCCCCGGGAGAUCUCGUCCUCUCCAUUUCCACGCUGUUUAGGCGUCUUCCGUUUCAAGUGUGUGUUUGGGGUAUUUUUUUUUUUUCUUUUAGAUGUUUUUCGUCUCCCACUAAAUCUUCUCGGGAAUACUGCAUAUCGAAGCAGGUGGUUCCUGGUACGAAAUCUUUGGAUACAUUUUAUUUGCCAAGUUUUGCUUCUCCCUAUCCCCUCCCGCUUUGAGAGGCAUCCUUGGUGCUUUUCUUUCGGAUUUACAUGCAGAAAACGUAUCUAUGUUUAUAUGCCGACCGGAUAAUUUAUAAGUACGUACAUAUACGCGUGCCCAAGCACCUGGCUUUCGUCUCCUUCCCGACCAGGAGGAAUGUUUUGGAGCCCAUGGAUAAGGAGCACAGUAUUAACAUUCUUCUAAGGCUGUUUUUCAAAAAGGGGAGGGAGCGUGAAGAAUUGUUUAACAUUCGGCCGCCGUUUGGCUGCACACUAAGCACCACGAAGUAUUUAUGGUUGCAGAUCAGGUGCAAACGGGGCUUACAGAGAAAGGUAAGGGAGCUUCCUGCGUCCACCCGUCCCGACGUUUAUCUUAAUUCCCGGGAUUACCGAAAACUUCCUUCCUACUCCUUGCCUGACCCUGGCCUCCCCCAGCUCCCCCACCCCUGCCCGCGGUCUCUCCGGUUCGCUUAACCCUUGUCCAGUUCCUUUGGGCUGAGAAUGGUAGUGGUGGCGUCGACAGUACUGGAGGUGGAAUCGUCUGUUUGAGUUUAAAUGCGUCUCUCUUUUUUUCCCCUUUGAGUAACUGAGUUUUCCAAUCCCCCUUUUUAGCAGUCUCAAGAAAUGUUAUUUUGUCCUUAAAAAAAAAACAACCCGUUACGUAGAUAACUGCUUUAACCAUGUAUUGGUGCCAACUCCUCACCGGUGUCCUCUGGAAAAAUAAUAAAAGCAAUAAAAAUGAUGAACUUUAAUGAGCUGGGUGGUUUCUUCAGUACUGAGGGACAUGGAACCUCUCAAAUGAUUCUUUUCAUUAAAAAAAAAGAAAAAAAGAAAAAAGAAAGAAAAACCGGGGAAAAAAACCCAAAUCAAUACCACGGGAGGAGGCCACAGUGAAGGAAAUUCGGCUUCCAUUUCUGCAUAAAGCAAUUCAUUUCACUUGGAGGGUAAUUCGCCAGAGUUUCGAGAGAUGAAGCGAAGUCUCCCGUGGGAGAACCUACAGCACUUAAUUCCUGCUCAAAUGCAUCCUUUUCCUCUACGACGAAACUGUGUACAUCUUGAACCAGGAGAGAUCCCGGUAGAUGACCAAUCAGACGUUGGAGGGGAUAUAGACCCGCAGCUAACUGGAUUUGAUUUAUAAGAAGGAAAUCUACAGUCAAUGGCCA
RNAcentral lists this long non-coding RNA (1532 nucleotides) under Heterocephalus glaber (naked mole-rat). Its description in RNAcentral is "lncRNA (ENSHGLG00100032915.1)". The record is from RNAcentral. Lineage: Eukaryota; Metazoa; Chordata; Mammalia; Rodentia; Bathyergidae.